GACGAACGCUGGCGGCGUGCCUAAUACAUGCAAGUCGAACGCUUUUUCUUUCACCGGAGCUUGCUCCACCGAAAGAAAAAGAGUGGCGAACGGGUGAGUAACACGUGGGUAACCUGCCCAUCAGAAGGGGAUAACACUUGGAAACAGGUGCUAAUACCGUAUAACACUAUUUUCCGCAUGGAAGAAAGUUGAAAGGCGCUUUUGCGUCACUGAUGUAUGGACCCGCGGUGCAGUAGCUAGUUGGUGAGGUAACGGCUCACCAAGGCAACGAUGCAUAGCCGGCCUGAGAGGGUGAUCGGCCACACUGGGACUGAGACACGGCCCAGACUCCUACGGGAGGCAGCAGUAGGGAAUCUUCGGCAAUGGACGAAAGUCUGACCGAGCAACGCCGCGUGAGUGAAGAAGGUUUUCGGAUCGUAAAACUCUGUUGUUAGAGAAGAACAAGGAUGAGAGUAGAACGUUCAUCCCUUGACGGUAUCUAACCAGAAAGCCACGGCUAACUACGUGCCAGCCGCCGCUGUAA
RNAcentral lists this ribosomal RNA (523 nucleotides) under uncultured bacterium. RNAcentral describes it as "partial 16S ribosomal RNA". It matches the Rfam family "Bacterial small subunit ribosomal RNA", at positions 28 to 523 of the family's 1533-position model. The record is from RNAcentral.